This 467-nucleotide ribosomal RNA is filed under the name uncultured bacterium. RNAcentral describes it as "bacterial SSU rRNA". It matches the Rfam family "Bacterial small subunit ribosomal RNA", at positions 29 to 506 of the family's 1533-position model. The record is from RNAcentral.
ACGAACGCUAGCGACGUGCCUAAGAAAUGCAAGUCGAGCGGGGUUAUCGGAGCUUGCUCUGGUAACUUAGCGGCGAACGGUCGCGUAACACGUAAGCAACCUGCCCUGAAGUGGGGGAUAGUCCUCCGAAAGUGGGCUUAAUACCGCAUGUGGACAACUAUUGGCAUCUUUGGUUGUCUAAAGCAGUAAUGCGCUUCAGGAGGGGCUUGCGGCCUAUCAGCUAGUUGGUGAGGUAACGGCUUACCAAGGCGACGACGGGUAGCUGGUCUGAGAGGAUGGUCAGCCGGACUGGGACUGAGACACGGCCCAGACUCCUACGGGGGGCAGCAAUUAGGAAUCUUGCGCAAUGGGCGAAAGCCUGACGCAGCGACGUCGCGUGACUGAUGAAGUCUUUCGGGAUGUAAAGGUCUUUUUUGGGGGAAGAAGGAUGUGACGGUACCCCAAGAAUAAGCCCCGGCUAACUACGU